CAGCAGCCGCGGUAACACGUAGGUCCCGAGCGUUGUCCGGAUUUAUUGGGCGUAAAGCGAGCGCAGGCGGUUAGAUAAGUCUGAAGUUAAAGGCUGUGGCUUAACCAUAGUACGCUUUGAAAACUGUUUAACUUGAGUGCAGAAGGGGAGAGUGGAAUUCCAUGUGUAGCGGUGAAAUGCGUAGAUAUAUGGAGGAACACCGGUGGCGAAAGCGGCUCUCUGGCUUGUAACUGACGCUGAGGCUCGAAAGCGUGGGGAGCAAACAGGAUUAGAUACCCCAGUAGUCCCUGUCUCUUAUACA
Molecule: ribosomal RNA, 301 nt
Filed under: uncultured bacterium
Lineage: Bacteria
Description: partial 16S ribosomal RNA
Rfam family: Bacterial small subunit ribosomal RNA
Source: RNAcentral